This 70-nucleotide ribozyme is filed under the name Blautia pseudococcoides. RNAcentral describes it as "Blautia sp. YL58 Pistol ribozyme". It matches the Rfam family "Pistol ribozyme". Lineage: Bacteria; Bacillati; Bacillota; Clostridia; Lachnospirales; Lachnospiraceae. The record is from Rfam by way of RNAcentral.
AGAGGUUGCAACCUCUAUAAAUAGGGCUUUAAGUUGCAAGCGUUCCCGCUGGAAACAGUGGGAGAUAGCC